This is a long non-coding RNA of Zootoca vivipara (common lizard), 550 nucleotides long. RefSeq lists it as uncharacterized. The record is from RefSeq and is a predicted model, not a curated record. NCBI's taxonomy places the organism in Eukaryota, Metazoa, Chordata, Lepidosauria, Squamata, Lacertidae.
UCUCCCCGAGCAAAGAGGAGGCGGGGCAGCGGCAGCAGCCUGGGAAGGAGGGAGGCAAGGCAGGAGAGCGUGGAUUGAGCAAGAGAGACAAGGAGCCGGGGCCCGGGGGCAGACGGAGCAAAGAGGUACCGGGAUCCAACUAAGUGAGGGGGCACGCGGGACGGAGAAGCAACUCCUCGCCAACGGCUCAGUCGGAGCCACCAGCUUUCAGCUGUCAAGUUUGUCCAGAGACACCUUUCCGCGCCCCCCCCCCGCCAUUCCUCGCUCCUCCUGGAUUUGAGGUAGAACGUGCCUGCUGCUGGAGGCUCAUCAGAUGGUUUGAGGGUAGCCCUCUUGUUCACACUCCCAAUCUAUGGGGUUGGACUGGAGAAACUCCAGACAGGGGUGUGUUGGGUUAGCCAGGAAGUUGAACAAUUAGCCUUUCCCUACCAGGCCUGCUCCUCACCACAAAAAAAAUCCCUGGGAAGAGUGGGAUUGGUGCAUUGGAUCAUUUAUGUCCAAGCUUCUCUUCACACCGCCUUCCAAAGUUUCUCUCCAAAUGAGAAGUAAA